RNAcentral lists this ribosomal RNA (253 nucleotides) under uncultured bacterium. RNAcentral's name for it is "partial 16S ribosomal RNA". It matches the Rfam family "Bacterial small subunit ribosomal RNA", at positions 524 to 776 of the family's 1533-position model. The record is from RNAcentral.
UACGUAGGGGGCAAGCGUUGUCCGGAUUUACUGGGCGUAAAGAGCGCGCAGGCGGUCGUUCAAGUCGAGUGUGAAAGCCCCCGGCUCAACUGGGGAGGGUCACGCGAUACUGAUCGACUGGAAGGCAGGAGAGGGUAGUGGAAUUCCCGGUGUAGUGGUGAAAUGCGUAGAUAUCGGGAGGAACACCAGUGGCGAAGGCGACUACCUGGCCUGUUCUUGACGCUGAGGCGCGAAAGCCAGGGGAGCGAACGGG